Lolium rigidum is the source of this 462-nucleotide long non-coding RNA. RefSeq lists it as uncharacterized. The record is from RefSeq and is a predicted model, not a curated record. The transcript is spliced from 3 exons. NCBI's taxonomy places the organism in Eukaryota, Viridiplantae, Streptophyta, Magnoliopsida, Poales, Poaceae.
AAGAAAGCGGGAUAGUUAUUUGGACAAUCUUAUAGACCUGAAAGGGGUCCAGUAUUUGCUUAAUUUAUGAAAUGGUCAAAAAAAAUUAACCUCAUCACAGGAAUAGAUUUGUUCGAACUAAACCACGAGAAUUUUAUGGACUUGUUUGGCUACUAUGGAGAAAGGCACUCAUUUGCUGACACAUUAAGAUUUUUCUGAAUUUGCUCCGAGUUGAACACUUUUUUGGUAUGUAUAUUAGAGGGUUAGGUAAGAGAACAACCUUAUAUGCUCAAGCCUGACUAGCCAUUUAUCAUCCGCUUCCUUGGGUGUCCAGGCAAUGCUGUAAUUGCACGGCUGCAGAGAUGACUACCUCGCCCAGGUGGCUCGGGACAACCAAUCCAGCCUAAUUUGGUAUCGUAUUUCAGGAUCGUUUUAUUUAGUAUCCAUAAAUAACCAGCGAACCUAUACUUUUUUCAUGCAACU